CGUAGGGCGAGCGUUGUCCGGAUUAUUGGGCGUAAGAGCUCGUAGGCGGCUCGGUAAGUGAGGUGUGAAACUCCAGGCUCAACCUGGAGACGCCACCUCAUACUGCCGUGGCUAGAGUCCGGUAGGGAGCAUGGAAUUCCUGGUGUAGCGGUGAAAUGCGCAGAUAUCAGGAGGAACACCAGUGGCGAAGGCGGUGCUCUGGGCCGGAAUGACGCUGAGGAGCGAAAGCGUGGGAGCAAACAGGAUU
RNAcentral lists this ribosomal RNA (247 nucleotides) under uncultured bacterium. RNAcentral describes it as "partial 16S ribosomal RNA". It matches the Rfam family "Bacterial small subunit ribosomal RNA", at positions 528 to 779 of the family's 1533-position model. The record is from RNAcentral.